AAAUUGAAGAGUUUGAUCAUGGCUCAGAUUGAACGCUGGCGGCAGGCCUAACACAUGCAAGUCGAGCGGAAACGACUUAACUGAACCUUCGGGGAACGUUAAGGGCGUCGAGCGGCGGACGGGUGAGUAAUGCCUAGGAAAUUGCCUUGAUGUGGGGGAUAACCAUUGGAAACGAUGGCUAAUACCGCAUAAUGCCUACGGGCCAAAGAGGGGGACCUUCGGGCCUCUCGCGUCAAGAUAUGCCUAGGUGGGAUUAGCUAGUUGGUGAG
This 269-nucleotide ribosomal RNA is filed under the name Vibrio sp. F13. RNAcentral describes it as "partial 16S ribosomal RNA". It matches the Rfam family "Bacterial small subunit ribosomal RNA", at positions 1 to 256 of the family's 1533-position model. The record is from RNAcentral. Lineage: Bacteria; Pseudomonadati; Pseudomonadota; Gammaproteobacteria; Vibrionales; Vibrionaceae.